CCUACGGGAGGCUGCAGUAGGGAAUAUUGCUCAAUGGGGGAAACCCUGAUGCAGCCACGCCGCGUGGAGGAUGAAGGUUUUCGGAUUGUAAACUCCUUUUGUUAGGGAAGAUAAUGACGGUAUCUAACGAAUCAGCACCGGCUAACUCCGUGCCAGCAGCCGCGGUAAUACGGAGGGUGCAAGCGUUACUCGGAAUCACUGGGCGUAAAGAGCGCGUAGGCGGGAUAGCAAGUCAGAUGUGAAAUCCUAUGGCUUAACCAUAGAACUGCAUUUGAAACUGUUAUUCUAGAGUAUGGGAGAGGGAGGUGGAAUUCUUGGUGUAGGGGUAAAAUGCGUAGAGAUCAAGAGGAAUACUCAUGGCGAAGGCGACCUGCUAGAACAUAACUGACGCUGAGGCGCGAAAGCGUGGGGAGCAAACAGGAUUAGAUACCCGGGUAGUC
RNAcentral lists this ribosomal RNA (440 nucleotides) under uncultured bacterium. RNAcentral's name for it is "partial 16S ribosomal RNA". It matches the Rfam family "Bacterial small subunit ribosomal RNA", at positions 338 to 795 of the family's 1533-position model. The record is from RNAcentral.